GAAUGUAAGGGGAAUCUGGCUAUAUAGCAUGUCACUCCAUUAAUACAUAGUGUAGCUUGGGACAGUCUAGCUAACAAGUAGAUGUCAUUUUCUCUACUCCCUUCUACAUAUGUGGCCCUCCAGAAGUUGUUCCCUUUGCCCAAGAUGAUGACUUUCCUCUAAAGAGGAAGACUUUUCAUUAGGCAAGAGUAUCUAAGUUGAGACAUUUUCCUAUUAAAAUCUCUUAAGCAAAGAUCUAUCACAGUUGAUUGCACUAUCUGGCAGGAGUGUUUACUACAUAAUUAGGCAAGACUUCUCCAAGAGCCCAAGCCAGGUUUGGGAGAUGG
RNAcentral lists this small RNA (326 nucleotides) under Pteropus vampyrus (large flying fox). Its description in RNAcentral is "7SK RNA (ENSPVAG00000028122.1)". The stretch from base 1 to 275 matches the Rfam family "7SK RNA". From Rfam's summary of the family: 7SK was discovered as an abundant small nuclear RNA in the mid-70s but a possible function has only recently been suggested. Two independent studies have found that 7SK RNA binds the CDK9/cyclin T complex (known as elongation factor P-TEFb). Lineage: Eukaryota; Metazoa; Chordata; Mammalia; Chiroptera; Pteropodidae. The record is from RNAcentral.